AUUCUAUUGAGGCAAAAUAUUUAACAUGCAAUCUGCCUGCUAAAGAAAAAUUUAAGUGUACCUGACGCUAACAUGGGCUGUAGCUAGAUAGCUACAGUGUUAUACAGCAGAUCUCUAGAACUAUUUUUUAUCUUAUUAACUGAAGUUUUAUGCCCAGUGAUUCUUAGCUCCCAAUUUCCUCGUCCUCUGAGCCCCAGGCACCCAAAUUCCACCUUGAUUGAAUGAAUUUGACUAUUUUAAAUGAGUGGAUAAGUGGCAUCAUACCAUAUCUGUCUUCUGGGUCUCCCUUAUUUCACUCAGCCUGACACCUGAAGGCUCAUUGGUGUUACUGUAUGUUGCAAAAUUUCUUUCUUUUUAAAAGGCCAAAUAGUAUUCCAUUGUAUUUAAUGUUUUAGUUAUAUUUCUCCCCAUAUGUUUUUCUUAGUACUGCCAUGUUUCAGCAGAGUGCAGGUUCAAGGACGAAGGAAAAUACAAGUCCAAUCCAGUGUGACAGUGUGAGCUGUGCAGAGGGCGGAGGGAGAAGGUGAGGUCGAAGUCAAUCACAGUUGCUGCUCCCAGGGGAAGGUCCUGAAACACCACCCCAAGAAUAAAUCGCAGGCCGGCUGGGAUCCACCCAAGAGGUUCUUGGAUAUCAUUUGUCUCACCACAUUUUUAAUAACUACCAUGUCUUAAUAAACUCUAUCCCACAUUCGUUUGGAACUCAGAAUGUAUGCACGCUUUAAAUUUAAUGUAGCUUCCAAAAUUCUAGCAAAGACACGAGGUUGCAAAACACACGGAAACGUUGCCAUGGGAAAUUCUGGAAGUGUGGAGGCGACACCAGCAUCUGCAACUUGCCCAGGCUCCUCUGAUGUCCUCUUUUACAAGUAGAGACGUCAGAAAAGGUCAGAGCUGCUGGCAGAUCCCCGAGAUGAAGAGCAGGAUGGUGCUUUGGAAAAUGGCAGUUCUUGCAGCGUUAAGG
Molecule: long non-coding RNA, 958 nt
Filed under: Fukomys damarensis (Damara mole-rat)
Lineage: Eukaryota; Metazoa; Chordata; Mammalia; Rodentia; Bathyergidae
Description: lncRNA (ENSFDAG00000023854.1)
Source: RNAcentral